GUAUCUUGUUCGGUUUCACUUCUGCGAUAUAAUGAGUAAUGAAAUUUCCCAGCUAUACUUCAAUGUUUAUGUUGAUUCUUGGCUUCUUGUCAAGGAUCUUAAUCCUAAUUAUUUUUCAUAUACCCUUUUGGCGAAUGCGAUUUAUAUGGAUUUUGUUUCAGCUUUAAAUGUCAGCAAUAAGCUUCGGGUGAAUAUUGGUCCAAGCUCCAUCCCAAAUGUUCUUCCCAAUGCCAUUCUAAAUGGGUUGGAUAUAAUGAAAAUGAACAAUUCCCUG
Molecule: unclassified non-coding RNA, 274 nt
Filed under: Hevea brasiliensis (rubber tree)
Lineage: Eukaryota; Viridiplantae; Streptophyta; Magnoliopsida; Malpighiales; Euphorbiaceae
Source: RNAcentral